Xiphophorus hellerii (green swordtail) is the source of this 1170-nucleotide long non-coding RNA. RefSeq lists it as uncharacterized. The record is from RefSeq and is a predicted model, not a curated record. The transcript is spliced from 2 exons. NCBI's taxonomy places the organism in Eukaryota, Metazoa, Chordata, Actinopteri, Cyprinodontiformes, Poeciliidae.
CAGCUCUCCUCGACAAAUCACGGGGUUGAAUCAUCAUGUGCUUCUGUUUAAUCCCUGAAGUUGUAGCUUAAGUCUGCCGCACAAUGCAAGGCACCGACAAAGGGCUGUUGUAUGAAAGAGACUGAUUAUGUCGGUAGAAGCAGACUUAAAGUUUUCUUUUUAGUUCUUCGUUUAACCUCCCCCCCGCUCUGCUCGUUCAGACUAAUGUAGGGGUAAAAUGUAGAGGUCAAAUAAUAACAUCAACUUCAAAUGGAGUAAAACAGUCACAAAAGUGAAGCCUAACUUCAGUGCACGCAUUAAAAACACAAAUAAGUCACAAGAAUCUGCAAUGUUUACGGUGUCCUUCAAAUUCUGAAUUUUCUCCAGGCGGCCGCACUUUGACUGGGCCAUAACACUUAAUCUAAACAGUUUGGUUGUAUUCGUGGCUGAAUGUUUAGUGCCAACCUGCUGAAAGGUAAACACGGCUCAGACCAAAUCUCAAGUCUUUAGUUCCUCCCCUCCCUUUUAAAGAAAGGCAGCUGCCCAGCAUGAUGCUGCCACCACCAUGUUUCACUGGCCAAGUGCAAGGCUGCUUGGUAUUUCCCUUAACCCUCCCAGAGCCGAUCAUCCUCCAGUUCCAGAAAACCAAAAACUGAGAGAGCCACUCCACGCAGGUCCUGUUGAUCACAACCGAAUGGAUGUCCACUUUUCUCCACUUGAAGUAAAUAACCAGCUCCUUUGUUUAGAAGCAGAGCGCUUCUUCUGCAUGCAGCACUCAGAAAGCCGUUUGGUAGUUUUUUUGUUUUGUCCCUGCAGCAUAAACCCAGCAUUCGGGUCAAAGAAAUAACCCAGCAGUUUUUAGAGUGUGCUGGAAAAUUAAUCUGCCACUCCUGUUGGCUUCAGUGUCUACAUGCCCAAGCUUGGGCUUAUCUUUUUUUUCUUCUGUUUGUGUGGUUUCCAUUUUUAAAAAGAAAAGCAAAACCUGUUAAAUGAAAAUAUCACAAAAGAUUUGGGGUGACAGACAAGCUGUAAAUGUAGAAAGUGUUGUUCUGCUGUCUGAAACUUAUUGUCUGUACGCUUUUCUCCACAUACAGAAAGCCAGUUUGUUUUGAAACAUUAAUAUUCGUGAUGUAAAAAGUUUGAAAUAAGAUGGCACUCCCUUCAUCACAGUAAUAAAAUAAGGGACCCUUA